AUUGUCACAAGGGUUUGUUAUAUUUUACAAAACAUCAAUAAACAUAUAUUUUUCCAUGUGGACAGAUGAUGAGUCCAUUCCAACCGUUGGAUAGAUAGGACAUGGUCUAGAUUAUCCACAUGUAAAAUUUUAGAUUUAAUUCAAUCAAAUACCCCCUUGAAUUGACAUGCAUCCCGUGUAUAUCCAUGCAUGUAUACCAGUACUGUAGACAAUACUGUGCACUCUCCCAA
Long non-coding RNA from Telopea speciosissima, 230 nucleotides. RefSeq lists it as uncharacterized. The record is from RefSeq and is a predicted model, not a curated record. The transcript has 2 exons. Lineage: Eukaryota; Viridiplantae; Streptophyta; Magnoliopsida; Proteales; Proteaceae.